Molecule: long non-coding RNA, 396 nt
Organism: Hyaena hyaena (striped hyena)
Lineage: Eukaryota; Metazoa; Chordata; Mammalia; Carnivora; Hyaenidae
Exons: 3
Source: RefSeq, a predicted model, not a curated record
UGUUUUUUUAACAGCUAACACUUUCAGGUUCCAACAAGGUUUCUCGCUGAUCAUCUUCUAAGAGAUUGCUGUAUCAGCUAAAGAUAAAAGGCAUCUAAAGUCUGUCAGGGGCUGAGGGACAUGUACGCAGAGCUGGAAGGGGCAAAUGGCUUCACACAGUGACAGAGGCAGACACCAAAGAUGCUCCCCAGCGUGGCACUCACAGCGCCUGGCACAGGAGAGGUGCACGCAAAGACGAUCGUUGCUGGUUAUUCAGAGGUUAAGAUGCUUUAGAGAAAUCAGUCAGAAAAAGACUUCCCAAAACCCUAAGAAGCCAACCCAGUUCUACCCCAGCUGGGUGCCACUGCCCAGUAGUGUAUUCUCCUUCCUCUGCUCACCUGGUGACAUGAAGUAUUU